AUUGAACGCUGGCGGCAGGCCUAACACAUGCGAGUCGAAUGGUAACAGGAAACAGCUUGCUGUUUCGCUGACGAGUGGCGGACGGGUGAGUAAUGUCUGGGAAACUGCCUGAUGGAGGGGGAUAACUACUGGAAACGGUAGCUAAUACCGCAUAACGUCGCAAGACCAAAGAGGGGGACCUUCGGGCCUCUUGCCAUCAGAUGUGCCCAGAUGGGAUUAGCUAGUAGGUGGGGUAACGGCUCACCUAGGCGACGAUCCCUAGCUGGUCUGAGAGGAGGACCAGCCACACUGGAACUGGGACACGGUCCAGACUCCUACGGGAGGCAGCAGUGGGGAAUAUUGCACAAUGGGCGCAAGCCUGAUGCAGCCAUGCCGCGUGUAUGAAGAAGGCCUUCGGGUUGUAAAGUACUUUCAGCGGGGAGGAAGGGAGUAAAGUUAAUACCUUUGCUCAUUGACGUUACCCGCAGAAGAAGCACCGGCUAACUCCGUG
RNAcentral lists this ribosomal RNA (490 nucleotides) under uncultured bacterium. RNAcentral describes it as "partial 16S ribosomal RNA". It matches the Rfam family "Bacterial small subunit ribosomal RNA", at positions 30 to 507 of the family's 1533-position model. The record is from RNAcentral.